UACGGGGGGAGCAAGCGUUGUUCGGAUUUACUGGGCGUAAAGGGCGCGUAGGCGGCCUCUGCAAGUCAAUUGUGAAAUCUCCGGGCUUAACUCGGAAAGGUCAACUGAUACUGCAGGGCUAGAGUGCGGAAGGGGCAACUGGAAUUCUCGGUGUAGCGGUGAAAUGCGUAGAUAUCGAGAGGAACACCUGCGGCGAAGGCGGGUUGCUGGGCCGACACUGACGCUGAAGCGCGAAAGCUAGGGGAGCGAACGGG
Molecule: ribosomal RNA, 254 nt
Filed under: uncultured bacterium
Lineage: Bacteria
Description: partial 16S ribosomal RNA
Rfam family: Bacterial small subunit ribosomal RNA
Source: RNAcentral